CGUCUACCGUUUCACGUGAUGUGCUGGACGUGUUCGUCAUCGUGACUCGCGCUCACCUGUAUAUCCUUGACUGACAUUUCAAACGUUACUCCAACGAUGGUGCUGCGUUCUCUGGAUAAACCGGAAGUCUCAUCGGUAACAGGCUGCCUUAACAAGCGUCUCAACUGCAGAGGGUUCGUGGAGCAAAUAUUUGCUAGAAAGUGGUGAAAAUCUCUUAAUCCAUCUGAUAAUCGUAAUGUGAACUGAGUGCUGCACUCCAAAAAAUUUUAUAUAUGGUGCAAUCAUGGGAUUGACUCACUUAAUAUUGUAUGGUAUUUAUUGUAAGAUAAAUAACAAAGAAAAAAAAGAAUCAGUUUUUUAAGAAUGUAAUAUUUCCCCAGACAUGUCUGGUGGUGUAGUUUUCAUUCAGUGUAGAUAUGUAAACAUAACAUAUUGACAUGUUUUGUCGACACACCACUGUGUAAUUGCAACGAAAAGUGCACAAUCUUUACUAUUGUGGUGAGACAUUUUAUGUUUAUGUCUGAAAUUCAUUGAAAAUAAUAUGUCUUGUUAUUAAGGAGUGCAAAUGAUAAAAUAAUUGCAUUAGAAAAGUAAUUUAGUCAGAUCAAGAGUUUUUUUAUAAUUUUGCAGUUGCUUUUUUAUUAUAAUUAUUGGCUAUGUGAUUCUGCCAUGUAACUGUUUAGUGGAUGCUUUUGUCAGAUUUUUAAGCAAACAUUAGCUGUGAUGUUGACUGUGUGCUUUUUUGGUUUAACUUCUCACAUUUAUUAUUAUGCUGAUAAUCUAGCGUAUGAUAAAAGUGCAGCUUAUAAAUUAUAUUUUAUUGUAGUCUUGACACACACACACACCUGUUCAACUGCCAGUCAUUUAAUGCAUAUUGCAUAUUUGCAUAUUAUUCGAAUAUUAGCCAUUUAUUAGUGCUAAUUAAGCACAUAUUAGUGCCUUAUUCUACAUCCCUAAUCCUACACAAUACCUAAACUUACCUUGCUAAUUCUUAAUUAAGCAGCAAAUUAAGGAUUUAUUAUGUAUUCUAAAGUGUCGCCAAAGAUUUUAUCAAAUCAAAUAAUAAUUGUGAUGGCGAACUCCUUGUGCAGAUAUCA
This is a long non-coding RNA of Puntigrus tetrazona (Sumatra barb), 1097 nucleotides long. RefSeq lists it as uncharacterized. NCBI's taxonomy places the organism in Eukaryota, Metazoa, Chordata, Actinopteri, Cypriniformes, Cyprinidae. The transcript is spliced from 3 exons. The record is from RefSeq and is a predicted model, not a curated record.